Long non-coding RNA from Oreochromis aureus, 703 nucleotides. RefSeq lists it as uncharacterized. Lineage: Eukaryota; Metazoa; Chordata; Actinopteri; Cichliformes; Cichlidae. The transcript has 4 exons. The record is from RefSeq and is a predicted model, not a curated record.
GGCAAAUUCAUAUAUGGUGCAUUGCUUGGUGGACUUGCAAGCUUAUGUAAAAGACAUUUCAAGAUAAAGGAGGAAUUCAAGAGUUCAACCACUGUAAGCCUUGAAUGGCUACACUUGACCCCAAAACUGAUGGACGUCAUUUUUUCAAGGGGAGGAGCUAAAGGAGUGAGAAUCAGGCAGAUCAAGUACAUGCUUCUUGAGCACAAUUCAACUGAAAUACACAGAGAAGUAGCCAUCUGCUGCCUUAUCACAUACCUUGGAGAGAAGGAAGAGGACCUUUUCAUGGAGUUUGGUGACAAUUUAAGGCCAACCUUGAAAGGCAGGUGAUGAAAACUGCCAUCAUCGGUGACCGGUACACCCCUGGAUCUGACCAUAAGACUGCAACCAUUGUGGUGCGGGAACAAAAAUCCUGGAGGGCCAGAAUUUCCCAAGGUGCUGUGUGUUACUCAUGGGCAUAAUAUAUGCUCUCAAUCUGAGCUAAUGCAAGGAUCUGAAAUAUACUUUUGAAGUUUUUCAGAAGCUGUUCCUUGACCUUGAUGGAACCAGCAUUAUGUUAAAGAUGCUGACUCUGUUUCAAAAAUUGUUAACUGUUUUGAAUCCUGUAUGUGUAACAUUGAUCUUAAAGGUGUUUGCUGCAUUGUGUAAAAGAAAGAUGCAUGAUCUUGUAAAGUUUGGUAGGCACUGAAAGUUGACAUUUAUUGAA